This 73-nucleotide transfer RNA is filed under the name Bacteroides sp. OF04-15BH. It matches the Rfam family "tRNA". From Rfam's summary of the family: Transfer RNA (tRNA) molecules are approximately 80 nucleotides in length. Their secondary structure includes four short double-helical elements and three loops (D, anti-codon, and T loops). The record is from Rfam by way of RNAcentral. Lineage: Bacteria; Pseudomonadati; Bacteroidota; Bacteroidia; Bacteroidales; Bacteroidaceae.
GCGGGAAUAGCUCAGUUGGUAGAGCACGACCUUGCCAAGGUCGGGGUCGCGAGUUCGAGCCUCGUUUUCUGCU